This 253-nucleotide ribosomal RNA is filed under the name uncultured bacterium. RNAcentral's name for it is "partial 16S ribosomal RNA". It matches the Rfam family "Bacterial small subunit ribosomal RNA", at positions 524 to 776 of the family's 1533-position model. The record is from RNAcentral.
CACGUAGGGGGCAAGCGUUGUCCGGAAUUAUUGGGCGUAAAGAGCUCGUAGGCGGCUCGGUAAGUCAGGUGUCAAAUCCUCAGGCUCAACCUGGGGCUCCACCUGAUACUGCUGUGGCUAGAGUCCGGUAGGGGAGCGUGGAAUUCCUGGUGUAGCGGUGAAAUGCGCAGAUAUCAGGAGGAACACCAGCGGCGAAGGCGAGUCCCUGGACAACACCUGACACUGAGGCACGAAAGCUAGGGGAGCAAACAGG